UACGUAGGGUGCAAGCGUUGUCCGGAAUUAUUGGGCGUAAAGGGCGCGUAGGCGGCCACCGCAAGUCGGUUGUGAAAUCUCCGGGCUUAACCCGGAAAGGUCAAUCGAUACUGCGGGGCUAGAGUGCAGAAGGGGCAACUGGAAUUCUCGGUGUAGCGGUGAAAUGCGUAGAUAUCGAGAGGAACACCUGCGGCGAAGGCGGGUUGCUGGGCUGACACUGACGCUGAAGCGCGAAAGCUAGGGGAGCGAACGGG
This 254-nucleotide ribosomal RNA is filed under the name uncultured bacterium. Its description in RNAcentral is "partial 16S ribosomal RNA". It matches the Rfam family "Bacterial small subunit ribosomal RNA", at positions 524 to 776 of the family's 1533-position model. The record is from RNAcentral.